RNAcentral lists this ribosomal RNA (253 nucleotides) under uncultured bacterium. Its description in RNAcentral is "partial 16S ribosomal RNA". It matches the Rfam family "Bacterial small subunit ribosomal RNA", at positions 524 to 776 of the family's 1533-position model. The record is from RNAcentral.
UACGUAGGGUGCAAGCGUUAAUCGGAAUUACUGGGCGUAAAGCGUGCGCAGACGGUUGCGUAAGUCAGAUGUGAAAUCCCCGGGCUCAACCUGGGAACUGCAUUUGUGACUGCAUGGCUGGAGUGCGGCAGAGGGGGAUGGAAUUCCGCGUGUAGCAGUGAAAUGCGUAGAUAUGCGGAGGAACACCGAUGGCGAAGGCAAUCCCCUGGGCCUGCACUGACGCUCAUGCACGAAAGCGUGGGGAGCAAACAGG